RNAcentral lists this small RNA (29 nucleotides) under Bombyx mori (domestic silkworm). RNAcentral's name for it is "ovarian small RNA-24116". Lineage: Eukaryota; Metazoa; Arthropoda; Insecta; Lepidoptera; Bombycidae. The record is from RNAcentral.
UAUUAUACGGGUAACAUGUUGGGUUUGUU